Molecule: non-coding RNA, 468 nt
Organism: Maylandia zebra (zebra mbuna)
Lineage: Eukaryota; Metazoa; Chordata; Actinopteri; Cichliformes; Cichlidae
Source: RefSeq, a predicted model, not a curated record
AGUGUUUAAAUAUUCAAACGCUGCAGGAAGAAGAAGAACAAAGUGAUGACGGAUGUUUGUGUUUCAAACAGGAAAACCGGCAGAAAUAAAUCACCUUUAGAUAACCUGCCAGAGCUUUGGGAGUUUCCAAGAUGCACUAGAAUGCAGCACAGAGUGUGUUUGUUUCGGUGUCCUCAGAUGCCUCUGUGGGUGUUUCCUUCCUGUUCAAACUUUAAUUUCACUUUCCUGAAGUAAAUGUUUGUGACUGACGCUGUGAAGAGUACAAACCGAGGAUUGUUUGGUCUCAGUCAGACUGCAAGGACUGCACACGAACACUGGUGACCGAUCACCUGAAUUCAUCUCAUCACUUUUGCGGACACCAUGGGCGCUCGGCAGUCCGUCAUUCAUAUUACGAACAAGACUGAGGGCUACACCCUUCAAAACCCCAGCAUGUCUUUAUCCUGUCUUCCUUCUCUCACCCCAACCGGU